This 117-nucleotide ribosomal RNA is filed under the name Vitis vinifera (wine grape). The record is from RNAcentral. Lineage: Eukaryota; Viridiplantae; Streptophyta; Magnoliopsida; Vitales; Vitaceae.
GAGUGCGAUCAUACAAGCACUAAUGCACCGGAUCCCAUCUGAACUUCGCAGUUAAGCAUGCUUGAGCGAGAAUAGCUAAGAUGGGUGACUUCCUAGGAAGUCCUCAUGUUGCACCCC